CCUUCCGCGCGUGCUCCGAAUCCGUCCCGCCAAAUAGUAUUUAUUUUAUAAAUUAUAAUAUUAUUAAUAUUUUAUAAAUCUAAAUCAACAAAAUUUUUAAUAUUAAUUGAUAAUAUUAUCAAGUUAUAUAUAAUUAAUAAUAUCAACUAUAAAAAUAAAAAAUAUUAAUCACAACUCGCAAUAAAAUUCAAAAAUUUUAAAUACAUACAUAUGGAAAAAUUUUAAAGACAU
This 231-nucleotide long non-coding RNA is filed under the name Ananas comosus (pineapple). RNAcentral's name for it is "long non-coding RNA (ACOM_LNC029874)". The record is from RNAcentral. Lineage: Eukaryota; Viridiplantae; Streptophyta; Magnoliopsida; Poales; Bromeliaceae.